Molecule: long non-coding RNA, 2163 nt
Organism: Tetranychus urticae (two-spotted spider mite)
Lineage: Eukaryota; Metazoa; Arthropoda; Arachnida; Trombidiformes; Tetranychidae
Source: RefSeq, a predicted model, not a curated record
CAUUACCAAACGAUAUUCAUAUUUUUGUAACCUUAUUUAUUUUGCAUUUUUUAAUUUUAUCUUCUGAUUUUGAUUUAAUUUUCAUUAUUAUUUUGUUCGAUUGUCUUGUCUAUUGUAAAGUGUCAAGUUAAUUAUGGAUCAAAUCUGAAAGUGCAACCAUUCUAUUCGUGUAUCUAAUGUGUCUUCAACUCUAGUUUCUCCCUUGCAUCUUGGACUUGCUACAUUUAGUAAUUUGACUAUUUUAUCCAGAACCUAGGGGUGUGUUCGGAAAGUCAACCUUUAAUAUCUCUCUGUUUUUCAUGGUUGAUGAAGGACAAUCAAAAACAACCAGUGGCCAGUGACAAACCGACUUCCAACUUGAAUCGCCUUCAAACAAUUGAUUCGACACAGCUCUUGCUUGCACAUGGUUUCAUCUUUAUUCAUGUGGACUUUUGGUGAAUCUAUCUCUAUGCCAUGAAUUUUGUUCAAUUUUAAAGGGAAAACGCAUCAGAAUCGCGUGUUAAAUGGCCAAUGAUGAUUAGCUGCUCGGAAUUGAAAGAAAACAAACUAAUCAACUUUCGAUAAUGAUGGGUUCAAGUUAAAAAUAAAGGGAAACCUUGGGUCCUUGUUGGCUUGUACACCUUAGGGUUAUUCGUGAGGAACAGCAGCAGCAGCAGCAACGCGAAAAAAUAAAGUCAAAGGAUGAAACAAAAGCUAAAGUCAACUCUGGAAAAAGCGUAAAGGUCAAAAACGAUAAUAUUACCAAAGAGAAUGAAAGCUUCAUUGAUGAUAUCAACUUGGUUUGCUUAAAAAAAAUGUUACACUUUUGCUGAGUUCCGAAAAUGAAAAAAGGCGAAACUCUUUUUUUGCUGCGUCUCAACUUUUCUUCCUUUGCUAUUAUUGAUGUUAUUUUUGGUGUUUUUUACCUCGAGUCUCAAGUUACCCUGGCUCUUUUUUUUCUCUUAAUCAACUUUAUACCAGCGUUGACCAAACGGUCUGACCAUAGGCAAUGCUUAUUGAUGAAUCUUGAGUAUCUUCGUGCUCCUGUCAAUUGGAAAACAAUAAAACCUUUUCUUGUAUUUGUUUGCCCCUUGUUUAUCUCAAUAACUUUUACCAUUUAUUGCUGUUGCUGUUGUUUUUUUAAAACUUACAAUAUCUUGACAAAACUGACCUUUGGCUAGUCUUUUGUUGGAAUUAAAUUUCAUUGUCACGAUAACCCUCAUCAUGUCUUGUCUGGCAAGGUCAACAUCAACAUCAGCUUAAAAAAAGGAUACAAAGAGAUGUUGCUGUAGAUGCUAAUCAAAUGGAUCUUGUCAGAUUAUGAAUUUCUUUUAUUUGGCCUUUUGAUCUUCAUUUUAUCACUGGUUUAACAACAUUAUUUAUAAUCAAUGGAAGCUUCUCAUCUUAAGUUCUUAUUGUCAACUUGAUAAAUCUCACUAUUUUUGACGCUUUUCAGCUGAUAAACACAUUCAAAAAUACAUUUGGUCCAUUCCGUCAAGUUGCAAAGGAAACAAAGCGAACCCCUUCUUGAAGGAAAAAUCACAUGAAAGGCGCAAUUGAUUUACGCUAAUGAUUAAUGUUUGAUGCAAAAUAUGUCCAUCCACUUGAUGAUCCGAUGAAUCUUCAUCUUGGUAAAGCCAAACCUUGCCGCCAAGUUUACUGAAUCAAGUUUAGUCAAUUAAUCAGUUUUAAACUGAUAUAAUCAUUAUAAGACAGAAAGCUAAUAAUGAAGCUCAAAAAGUCAACAUAAAAGGCCAAAACUGAAACGCAAUGUAGAAAAAAAAGGAAAGAAAGUUAACGGGGAAGUGCGAAAGAGUAAAGAAAAGAAGAGAAAAAAGAAAGGAAAGUAAGAUAAUUUGGAGAUAUCGCCCAGCAGCACGGCCAGCCGAAUUGACCUUUUACUGAACGGGUUUUCUUCAAUCUUACUCAUCAACUGAAAAUUCUCUUUCAUCACCAAUUUUCUUCCCACCAAUGAUCGUACACUUGAUUCUCAUCCUUUCAGUUGCAUGUGUUUCUUCCAGUCUAAUGCAAGUCUUCGCCAUCAUUACCAACAGCAAACAGCAGAAGCUUCGUCCUUUCAUCUCAAAUUUGAUCUGUGGACAGGAACAAAAGUAAAAACAUCUUAAAAACCAUUAAGAUUCCGAGGUUCAAUAAAAAAAGGAAAAACAAAAAAUGACCUUUCAA